AAUGGGGGAAACCCUGACGCAGGAACGCCGCGGGAGUGAUGAAGGCUUUCGGGUCGUAAAGCUCUAUCUAGAGGGAAGAAGUGAUAUUUGGUUAAUACCCAGAUUUCUUGACGGUACCUCUGAAGGAAGCACCGGCUAACUCCGUGCCAGCAGCCGCGGUAAUACGGAGGGUGCAAGCGUUGUUCGGAAUUAUUGGGCGUAAAGCGCGUGUNGGCGGAUUGUUAAGUCUGAUGGGAAAGCCCCGGGCUCAACCUGGGAAGUGCAUUGGAAACUGGGAGACUUGAGUACGGGAGAGGAGAGUGGAAUUCCUAGUGUAGGAGUGAAAUCCGUAGAUAUUAGGAGGAACACCGGUGGCGAAGGCGGCUCUCUGGACCGAUACUGACGCUGAGACGCGAAAGCGUGGGUAGCGAA
This 411-nucleotide ribosomal RNA is filed under the name uncultured bacterium. RNAcentral describes it as "bacterial SSU rRNA". It matches the Rfam family "Bacterial small subunit ribosomal RNA", at positions 370 to 772 of the family's 1533-position model. The record is from RNAcentral.